RNAcentral lists this ribosomal RNA (434 nucleotides) under uncultured bacterium. Its description in RNAcentral is "bacterial SSU rRNA". It matches the Rfam family "Bacterial small subunit ribosomal RNA", at positions 355 to 786 of the family's 1533-position model. The record is from RNAcentral.
UGAGGAAUAUUGGUCAAUGGACGAGAGUCUGAACCAGCCAAGUAGCGUGAAGGAUGACUGCCCUAUGGGUUGUAAACUUCUUUUAUACGGGAAUAAAGUGAGGCACGUGUGCCUUUUUGUAUGUACCGUAUGAAUAAGGAUCGGCUAACUCCGUGCCAGCAGCCGCGGUAAUACGGAGGAUGCGAGCGUUAUCCGGAUUUAUUGGGUUUAAAGGGUGCGUAGGCGGACUGGUAAGUCAGCGGUAAAAAUGCGGUGCUCAACGCCGUAGUGCCGUUGAAACUGCCGGUCUUGAGUGAGCGAGAAGUAUGCGGAAUGCGUGGUGUAGCGGUGAAAUGCAUAGAUAUCACGAAGAACUCCUAUUGCGAAGGUAGCUCACUAAACUGCAACUGACAUUGAGGCUCGAAAGUGUGGGGUAUCAAACAGGAUUAGAUACC